This 84-nucleotide transfer RNA is filed under the name bacterium. RNAcentral describes it as "tRNA-Ser". It matches the Rfam family "tRNA". From Rfam's summary of the family: Transfer RNA (tRNA) molecules are approximately 80 nucleotides in length. RNAcentral also lists the same sequence under 4 other names. The record is from RNAcentral.
GGAGGGAUGGCCGAGUGGCUUAAGGCGACGCCCUGCUAAGGCGUUGGACGCAAGUCCGCGUGGGUUCGAAUCCCACUCCCUCCG